RNAcentral lists this ribosomal RNA (528 nucleotides) under uncultured bacterium. RNAcentral describes it as "bacterial SSU rRNA". It matches the Rfam family "Bacterial small subunit ribosomal RNA", at positions 777 to 1304 of the family's 1533-position model. The record is from RNAcentral.
AAUAGAUACCCAGGUAGUCCACGCCGUAAACGAUGAGUGCUAAGUGUUGGGGGUUUCCGCCCCUCAGUGCUGCAGCUAACGCGUUAAGCACUCCGCCUGGGGAGUACGGCCGCAAGGCUGAAACUCAAAGGAAUUGACGGGGGCCCGCACAAGCGGUGGAGCAUGUGAUUUAAUUCGAAGCAACGCGAAGAACCUUACCAGGUCUUGACAUCCCGCUGCCCGGUAUAGAGAUAUAUCUUUCCCUUCGGGGACAGCGGUGACAGGUGGUGCAUGGUUGUCGUCAGCUCGUGUCGUGAGAUGUUGGGUUAAGUCCCGCAACGAGCGCAACCCUUGAUCUUAGUUGCCAGCAUUUAGUUGGGCACUCUAAGGUGACUGCCGGUGACAAACCGGAGGAAGGUGGGGAUGACGUCAAAUCAUCAUGCCCCUUAUGACCUGGGCUACACACGUGCUACAAUGGAUGGUACAAAGGGCUGCAAGACCGCGAGGUUUAGCCAAUCCCAUAAAACCAUUCUCAGUUCGGAUUGCAGG